Molecule: long non-coding RNA, 714 nt
Filed under: Medicago truncatula (barrel medic)
Lineage: Eukaryota; Viridiplantae; Streptophyta; Magnoliopsida; Fabales; Fabaceae
Description: long non-coding RNA (MTRU_LNC001668)
Source: RNAcentral
AAACGCUCCAAACCAUAAGUUUUAACACAGUCCGAAAGGUUUCAGAUUAUAUGAUCUGAAACAAUUUGAAAAGGUGAUCGGUUUUUAUAAUUCAAAUUUGUCCAGAAUGCGAAUUGUGGUACUGCAAGCAAUGUUUGGAAGGUUCGUGGGGUGUUUUAUGCAUUUUUGGUAAGUUGUGUCAUUUUAAACGUUUCCUUUUAACUAUAGUCGCAAUUUAUGAUUUGCAUUCUUCUCCAUUUUUAUUGUAAGUCUCCUCUUCAUUUCUUCUUCUUUUUUUUUUUCUGCUGAAUUUUCAUUUGGGAGUGCAUUAAGAUAUCACGGUCAUUGUUAACCAUUCAUACCAUCCAUAAAAUUGUUGGGUACUUUUUAUGAAGAUGAUAUGAUGGCCGACAUAGACCUUCAUAUCAAUUAUAAUUUGUUUUAUGAGUUUUGACAUGAUUCAUAUUAUAUAAUCCAAAAUUCUGCAAAAGGUGUUUGAAUUAUAUAAUCUAAACAAAAGUAUUUUUGUCAAAUUGGAGGGUGCACGAGAAGUCAGGAAGGUUACAAAAAAUUAUUAAAAUGGAAUAUAGCUAUCAAACUCAAGGAUUUGGAUAAUCUAAAGUGAGUAACGUGUAAAAUAAAGUUAACAUAUUAUGUAAAAUAAAGUUGACUAAGCUAAUCAAAAUUAAAAGUAGCCAAUAUUUUUAUUUCAUUUUGUAAGAUUUUAAUAAUUUG